Molecule: ribosomal RNA, 174 nt
Filed under: uncultured bacterium
Lineage: Bacteria
Description: partial 16S ribosomal RNA
Rfam family: Bacterial small subunit ribosomal RNA
Source: RNAcentral
CAUGAAGCUGGAUUCGCUAGUAAUCGCGCAUCAGCCACGGCGCGGUGAAUACGUUCCCGGGCCUUGUACACACCGCCCGUCAAGCCAUGGGAGUCGGGAGUGCCUGAAGUGCGUGAGCGCGAGCAGCGCCCUAGGGCAAAACCGAUGACUGGGGCUAAGUCGUAACAAGGUAAC